GAUGAACGCUGGCGGCGUGCCUAAUACAUGCAAGUCGAGCGAACGGACGAGAAGCUUGCUUCUCUGAUGUUAGCGGCGGACGGGUGAGUAACACGUGGAUAACCUACCUACAAGACUGGGAUAACUUCGGGAAACCGGAGCUAAUACCGGAUAAUAUUUUGAACCGCAUGGUUCAAAAGUGAAAGACGGUCUUGCUGUCACUUAUAGAUGGAUCCGCGCUGCAUUAGCUAGUUGGUAAGGUAACGGCUUACCAAGGCAACGAUGCAUAGCCGACCUGAGAGGGUGAUCGGCCACACUGGAACUGAGACACGGUCCAGACUCCUACGGGAGGCAGCAGUAGGGAAUCUUCCGCAAUGGGCGAAAGCCUGACGGAGCAACGCCGCGUGAGUGAUGAAGGUUUUCGGAUCGUAAAACUCUGUUAUUAGGGAAGAACAUAUGUGUAAGUAACUGUGCACAUCUUGACGGUACCUAAUCAGAAAGCCACGGCUAACUACGUG
RNAcentral lists this ribosomal RNA (497 nucleotides) under uncultured bacterium. Its description in RNAcentral is "partial 16S ribosomal RNA". It matches the Rfam family "Bacterial small subunit ribosomal RNA", at positions 28 to 507 of the family's 1533-position model. The record is from RNAcentral.